GAUGAAGAACGUAGCGAAAUGCGAUAAGUAAUGUGAAUUGCAGAAUUCAGUGAAUCAUCGAAUCUUUGAACGCACAUUGCGCCCGCCAGUAUUCUGGCGGGCAUGCCUGUUCGAGCGUCAUUUCAACCAUCAAGCCCCCGGCUUGCGUUGGGGACCUGCGGCUGCCGCAGGCCCUGAAAUGCAGUGGCGGGCUCGCUGUCACUCCGAGCGUAGUAGUUACAUCUCGCUCUGGGCGUGCUGCGGGUUCCGGCCGUUAAAAGCCUUAUUUACCCAAGGUUGACCUCGGAUCAGGUAGGAAGACCCGCUGAACUUAAGCAUAUCAAUAAGCGGAGGA
Molecule: unclassified non-coding RNA, 334 nt
Filed under: soil metagenome
Description: partial contains 5.8S ribosomal RNA, internal transcribed spacer 2, and large subunit ribosomal RNA
Rfam family: 5.8S ribosomal RNA (bases 1-120)
Source: RNAcentral